RNAcentral lists this ribosomal RNA (573 nucleotides) under Cicindela (Rivacindela) sp. JP-15a. RNAcentral's name for it is "partial 16S ribosomal RNA". The stretch from base 142 to 501 matches the Rfam family "Bacterial large subunit ribosomal RNA", at positions 2075 to 2645 of the family's 2925-position model. Lineage: Eukaryota; Metazoa; Arthropoda; Insecta; Coleoptera; Carabidae. The record is from RNAcentral.
CAGUAUUUUGACUGUGCAAAGGUAGCAUAAUUAUUAGUUUUUUAAUUGAAAGCUUGUAUGAAGGGUUGGACGAGAUAAAAUCUGUCUUUAUUUAAAUUAAAAUAUAAUUUAACUUUUAAGUAAAAAGGCUUAAAUGUUUAUAAAAGACGAGAAGACCCUAUAGAUCUUUAUUUAAUUGAAAUUUUAAUAAUUUAGGAUUAUUUUAAUUUAAAGUUUUAAUUAAAUUUUAUUGGGGUAAUAUAAAGAUUAAAUUAAUUCUUUUUAUUUAUAACAUUGAUUUAUGAAUAUAUGAUCCAUUAAUAUUGAUUAUAAGAUUAAGUUACCUUAGGGAUAACAGCGUAAUUUUUUUGGAGAGCUCAUAUCGAUAAAAAAGUUUGCGACCUCGAUGUUGGAUUAAAAAUUAGCUUGGGUGCAGAAGCUCAAGAUUUUGGUCUGUUCGACCAUUAAAUUUUUACAUGAUCUGAGUUCAGACCGGCGUAAGCCAGGUCGGUUUCUAUCUUUAUUAAAAUAAAAUAUUUUAGUACGAAAGGACCAAAUAUUUAGUAUAAUUAUAUUUAUUUUUUGAAGAAUAUU